AUUCCAUAGCAACAAGUAUUCCAAAGGAUCUUCCAUCUCAUUUCAAGCAGACCAAAACAUCUCUCGAUCACAUUCCUAGUAGCUGGAUGUUUCAUGUUAAAAAAUUCUUCAUGGCUUGCAGGAUGUCGACCAUCUCUCCACUCAUUGAGGUGAUACCGUUGCCCUCUAUAAGGAGGGCGAAAUCCUUCGCAAUUGGUAUAACCAGCAUCAACAAGAUAAUAAUAACCUAAAUAAGAUCAAAAAAUGCUUAGUAACUUUUUAUUUUUUAUAUUAGCAUUACUCAAUCAUAAUUCGCCUCGCCACAAGGUACUUUUAAUGAAUGUCUUCUGUUAAGAGCAUCUCUAAGUAUUCUCCCAUCAGCAACUGAACCUUCCCAUCCCCGUAAAACAUAAAUAAAUUGCAUAUCUCUUGAGCACACUCCUAAAACAUUUGUUGCUAAUUCUCCUUUUCUUGUUCGAUAUCUUAAUUUAGCAUUUUUUGGUAUUUUGACCUUCAUAUAUGUUCCAUCUAAUGCUCCUAAACAAUUCUAACAAUUACAACAACUCAAAAGUUAAAUAUAUAGUGCAUAUAAUGCAAUUUUUUUCAAAUCAAUAAUAUAUUAUGUGUUUUGAUAAAAGUACCUUAAACCAUUUCCACCUAUCAUCUGUACAGUUUUUAGGAAUUGGAUCAGGAGUCUUAAAUAAAACUUCAUGUAAACGUAACACCGCCCUUAACACUUUGUGGAAAUGCCUAUUGAUGGUUUCUUGGGAUCGCUUCAAUCUAUGU
RNAcentral lists this unclassified non-coding RNA (765 nucleotides) under Hevea brasiliensis (rubber tree). The record is from RNAcentral. Lineage: Eukaryota; Viridiplantae; Streptophyta; Magnoliopsida; Malpighiales; Euphorbiaceae.